UGGGGACCUUGGUGCUCUGCCAAGGGUCCCUUUUAGUGGCUUCUGAGAAAUCUCAGAAGGGGUUUUGUGUUGUAGAUGAAGAAUUACAGAUCUGGCUAAAACUCCUACUUAGCUGAGGGCUUGAAAAACAGAAAGAUACAGUGAUUUUCCCAAAGCUGCACAGCAGAUAGAGCUGAGAAUCUGCCAGUUUUCUAGUGUUCCUAGUGCUUUGUGUAUCACAUGAUCGUAUCACAUUACUGACACUGGCGCUUGCUGAGGAUCAGCUGGGGAGAGAUAACGCUGGUGUCUGUAAGCCACAAAGCACUCACACCUCUUGGCUGGUGAUCCACUGGCCAAAGUUGGAAUUCACUUGCCAACACCAGGGCAUACGCAAGAGGAACUGGCCACUGCUGACCAGUGAACCUGCCACCGAAUCUUGAUGAAAGGUUCCCACUACAUUUGCAGAACAGAUGCUGAGACCAAGGGAUCAUAUUUUACUGUAAUGGAAGCCGUCCGAAUGUAUGCCUCACCCAUCUGUCUUCUCUCAAGUGUAACAAAAGGAUAUCAAAGUAGUCACAUCACUUCCAAAGCCUUCCUCUGAAGUCCCUCCUGCCUUCAGAAGAUUGGGGAUGUCAGAGUGAGAGCUAUAAGCACUCCAGAAGAAUUGUGUCCCAAAGCACGUCUUCCUGAGGGUCAGAACAUCACAGGCCCUGGCUGGAACAGACCCUAGAGUUGGCUGAUCAGUGCGGUCAUCUUAUAACCAGAAAGCAGCCUCGGGAAGGUUGGCAGCCAUCAAGACCACAAGCUACUCAGUGGUGUAGCCGGGAUUAGAACCCAGAUCUUUUGGUACCUCUGCCAGGAAGUUUUCCCUAUCCUGGAAUUAUCGGCUUUUCUCAGAAAGGAAGAGGUCAGUCCUCUUCAUCAUGAAAACCACAGUGGAAAGACAAGAAGGAAAUAAGCCAAAAUGUGAAUACUGUUCUGUUUGACAUAGAGAUGACAUUUCGGUCCUAAUUCUAUUUUUCUGCAUUGGCCAAAAUGUCUACAAAGGGCAUAUACUGCUUUUACGCCAGAAAAAAAAAAUUACUUUAAAAAUGAGGGGAUAAAAAAAAGCAGAAGGUGAAGUACAUACCCUAGAAAGCAUCAUCUAUGUGGCUCCUAGUCAUUGAUCCAAAUAAGCAGAACUAAUAAAAUGCCAUGACAUUUCCCUGUGCCAGGGGAGACAUCAGGCUGUGAGCAAGGAUGACUCAUGGAGGCAGUGGGGAGACCUCCCUACUGGCUGCCCGUGGGACGUCAGCUCUCUUUCAUAGGCUUCACUUUGCUGUGCCUUCACCCACAGACUGGCAAGGAGCAGAGGCCUGCUUCGUUACCUCUGGUGAUUUCCUC
RNAcentral lists this long non-coding RNA (1362 nucleotides) under Canis lupus familiaris (dog). Its description in RNAcentral is "lncRNA (ENSCAFG00845003490.1)". Lineage: Eukaryota; Metazoa; Chordata; Mammalia; Carnivora; Canidae. The record is from RNAcentral.